Molecule: ribosomal RNA, 328 nt
Filed under: uncultured eukaryote
Lineage: Eukaryota
Description: partial 18S ribosomal RNA
Rfam family: Eukaryotic small subunit ribosomal RNA
Source: RNAcentral
CCCUUAGAUGUUCUGGGCCGCACGCGCGCUACAAUGAUGAAUUCAACGAGUUUAUAACCUUGGUUGAAAAGCCUGGGUAAUCUUUUGAACUUUCGUCGUGAUGGGGCUAGACCCUUGCAAUUAUUGGUCUCCAACGAGGAAUUCCUAGUAACGCAAGUCAUCAGCUUGCAUUGAUUACGUCCCUGCCCUUUGUACACACCGCCCGUCGCACCUACCGAUUGAAUGGUCCGGUGAAAUCUUCGGAUUGAGACUUUGAUUUCUUCACGGAAAACGCUGUUUUAAAAAGUUGAUUAAACCUUACCAUUUAGAGGAAGGUGAAGUCGUAACA